This 405-nucleotide unclassified non-coding RNA is filed under the name Hevea brasiliensis (rubber tree). The record is from RNAcentral. Lineage: Eukaryota; Viridiplantae; Streptophyta; Magnoliopsida; Malpighiales; Euphorbiaceae.
UCGCUUGGCAGCUAUGGCUGGAAAGUACAAGGUAUAUUUAGUAAUGGCUGUAAUAGAGAGGGAUGGAUAUACUCUCUAUUGCACUAUGCUGUUCUUUGAUUCUCAAGGUUAUUACCUGGGAAAGCAUCGAAAACUCAUGCCAACAGGCACCGAGCAUAUAGUUUGGGGAUUUGGGGAUGGGUCAACAAUUCCUGUUAUUGACAGUCCAAUUCGGAAAAUUGGUGGCGCUAUUUGUUAGGAAAAUAGAAUGCCACUUCUGAGGACAGCUAUGUAUGGUAAAGGCGUUGAGAUAUAUCGUGCACCAACUGCGGAUGCCAGAGACACUUGCAAGCAACAAUGAGGCACAUUGCUCUUGAAGGUGGAUGUUUUGUGCUAUCUGCUAAUCAGUUCUGCCGAAGGAAAGAU